UUGUUGUUGUUGUGUUUUGUUUUGUUUCUCGACAGCGGCCGGGGAGAAGGCCCUGCAUGAGCUGGAGUCCCUUGAAAAGAGAGUGAAGGCAAACCACCAGCUGGUCAAUGAUCCUGGGUUUCGUGAGCAGGCUAAAAAGGCUCUAGGUCUGGUCAAAAAAAGAGCCAGCAACAUGGAUGCUUCACAGAGAAAGAAAGUGGCCCGCGAAGUGGCGAAGAUACUGGGGAAAAUGGAAGCCCAGAUGGUGUAUCAAAAGCUGCAUAAGUAGAGUGACAAAGCGUCUCAAUGAAAGCAGCACAAGCGUAGAACCAGUGUGGCCGACACUAACACGCUAGUUUUAGUUCGUUCUAACAAAUAAGUUGUAAACUGAGAUAUUCCAGGUACAGACUGCUUUGCAUAGCUACAGUUUUAAAUCAGGCUUACAAGUUACAUACAUUCUCAUAAUUUCGCCAGGUGUCAUUAUACCGCCACCUCAAAAAACCUUGUUAUAGAAGCCUUCUCAAGAUUGUCUUCAACACCUAAAUAUCUGAAUUCUAUUACAUUGAAGAUAUUUAACAUUCGGUGUUGAAGACAAUCUUGCGAAGACCUCUAUAUGAACGUUUUUUUGAGAUGGCGGUAUAAUGACACCUGGUGGAAUUAUGAGAAUGCAUGUUAUGUCAAUGAAGAUGUAUCGAUUUCAUUUUUGUGACAAGUGUAAACGUCUUCUAUUUUUGACACUUUUAUGUUUAUCUUAAUUCAUAAAUCGACAAUAUGGUAACACUGUAGGAUUAUGCUUUAUUUCAAAUUUUGAAAAAGUACUAUGAAGACGUAUUUGUAGCUAUACUGUAUCUUGCUCUUGUUAAAAAACCGAAAUGCUUAUUGUUUAGUCCUAUACUCCACAUGGUAUCCGAUCCAGAGGCUAGUUUGUGCCUUGUAUUUUCGAGUUUUUCUUGGUGUCUUGGGUCUUGGGGUAUAAAGUCGGUAUCACCUGUUCUUGUUAGAGACUGUGAAGAAAAUCAGGUCAAAUAAAGCUUUGCUGCUAAAAAAUAAA
Molecule: long non-coding RNA, 1030 nt
Organism: Branchiostoma floridae (Florida lancelet)
Lineage: Eukaryota; Metazoa; Chordata; Leptocardii; Amphioxiformes; Branchiostomatidae
Exons: 4
Source: RefSeq, a predicted model, not a curated record